GUUUUUUAUUCAUUUUCUGACUCUUGAUAAAUUUGACAAAUGCACAUGUAUGGUCGAGCUCGUACUAAACCGUACGAGUAUACUCAUACGGUAGGAGCAUACGUUUAGGUAUACUUAUAUGGUCCAGACCGUACCCGUACGGUUCAAAUACUCAUAUUGUCUGGAACAUAUAUACAUGUAGCAUUGUUGAAAAAAAUGUACUUGUACUCAUCAUGGAUAAUACACAAUACAGAACCACAUCCGCGUAUAAUUUAUUCAAUUCAUCUUUCAUUCUGAAACAAAUUCAUUUUUCUUUUUGAAAACAAAACAAACAUGCAAACCAAUGAGUGAUGGAAAUCUGCUGAGCACCACAAAAUGCAUGAAUGUGUGGUAUUCUUUAUCAUUAUUUUGCUUUCAAACAAGAACAUGAUGGUUCAAAGUAUAUUUUUGAGAUUUACGGACCGUUUUGGCUGCUGUGGAGCCUAACAGACACUGAAUGGACAUCUUACUUAUGUUUUAUAGAUAUUUGCAAAAGAAAUUUAAAUGUCAAAUAUAGGCUCCAAAUUAUGUCCCCAGCAUAUACAUAAAGAGAACGC
This 575-nucleotide long non-coding RNA is filed under the name Mytilus galloprovincialis (Mediterranean mussel). The record is from RNAcentral. Lineage: Eukaryota; Metazoa; Mollusca; Bivalvia; Mytilida; Mytilidae.